RNAcentral lists this long non-coding RNA (1544 nucleotides) under Theobroma cacao (cacao). RNAcentral describes it as "long non-coding RNA (TCAC_LNC000029)". Lineage: Eukaryota; Viridiplantae; Streptophyta; Magnoliopsida; Malvales; Malvaceae. The record is from RNAcentral.
CUGGUAAUCUCACAACACAAGAAAUAAUUAAUAAACAGUCAGAAGAAACGUAUAGAAGAACAAUCUUCUGGUAGGAAUCAGAUAGUUGUAAUCGAUGAUGUUUGAUCUCCAGAGCUAAGUGCUAGCACUACAAAAAAGUUAAAACAGUAAAUCCUAAAUGGCACGGCAGGCAGGCAGGCACUAUGCCUCAUUAGCCGUGCUCACCUUUUAUUCAUAGGGCUGCCACUGCGAGAUGCUCACCACCACUGCUAGAGUUGCAGAAAAACUGAUGUAUCGUGGCAUAUUUACCAUUUGUUGAACAAACUAAACUCCCCUUACCAGGGAAUAAUUUUUUAAAAUAGAAAAUAGUUAUAGACUAGGAAAUACCAGAACACCUUCUCAACUGCUGAUAUGUUUUUGAUAGCCUUUAAAAGCCAAAAGUAAAAUUUUUAGUAGCAGUAAAAGCAUGGACUAAAAUUAAAUAACAAAAGAAAGAGAUGCUUAUACUCCCAAUUUGUUUUACCCAGAGCAGGAAAAAGAACAGAUGUCAGCCACCUUUUGUUGCUCGAAAAUAAAGGCCAAAAGGCAUAAUGCACAACUUCUCUGCUCAACAUAGUUUUUUCAGCUUUGCUGUGCAGGAUGAAGCAACAUCUUUGGAAUUGGAUUGUAAAAGUAUUGGGAAUUGCGAAAUAAUCAGCCCUUACCAGGUAUACCUUUAUAGGAUGAUUCUUAAUGGUACAACAAUACCUAAAGAGUGGAAAAUCACCUAUAUCUGGAGAUGGUUUCUACAUCCUACCAUAUUAAAGCAACUUAUCAAGGGGUCCAUUGAAACAAACCCAUACACCCUUACCAGAAAAUAGGCUGUGAUACCUGUUAUUUUUUUUCAACUUGAUCAGACUCCAAGUACAAUAUAUUACAGAACAGGCAGAAAUUGGAUUGUAAAAGUAUUGGGGAUUGAGAAAUAGAGUAAUCAGCCCCUUACCAGGGAUACCUUUAUAGGAUGAUUCUUAAUGGUACAACAAUACCUAAAGAGUGGAAGAUCACCUAUGUCUGGAGACGAUUUCUACAUCCUACCAUAUUAAAGCAACUUAUCAAGGGGUCAACUGAAACAAACCCAUUCGACCUUACCAGUAAAUAGGCUGUGAUACCUGUUUUCAUUUUUCAACUUGAACAGACUCCAAGUACGAUAUAUUACAGAACAGGCAGAUGCUCAGCAUACUCAUAGUUGCCAAACAGAAGUUGUACAUGCAUUGCUAUUUAGAACUACCAUGUAAGGAUAGAGUUUUGCAACUACAACAUGCAUUACUGCAUAUCAAGUUUAUACAAGCAUUUUUAAAAUAGGUUCUUAGUAAGCUUAGGUAUAUAGUAAGUACAUAUGUCAAAAGAUUUAACCUUUUUUACAAGAAAAAAUAUAGCUUGAUUUGAAAAAACUGGAAAUCAAAAAACUUUAAAACUUGAAAUUUAGUUUAGGAAACUAAAAUCUUUUAUGCAAGAAACAGAAAGGAUAAAGCGGCUGCAUAACCUCUUACCAAACCUGCAUGAGGGUGCUCAAAAAUACCUACCCG